GUUUGAUCCUGGCUCAGGACGAACGCUGGCGGCGUGCCUAACACAUGCAAGUCGAACGGGGUAGCAAUACCCAGUGGCGAACGGGUGCGUAACACGUGAGGAACAUGCCCUUCGGCGGGGGAUAGCCGGCCCAACGGCCGGGUAAUACCGCGUACGACCUUCGGGUGGCAUCACCUGGGGGUGAAAGCAGCAAUGCGCCGAUGGAGUGCCUCGCGGCCUAUCAGCUAGUUGGUGAGGUAACGGCUCACCAAGGCGACGACGGGUAGCUGGUCUGAGAGGAUGAUCAGCCACAUUGGGACUGAGACACGGCCCAGACUCCUACGGGAGGCAGCAGUGGGGAAUCUUGCGCAAUGGCCGAAAGGCUGACGCAGCGACGCCGCGUGUGGGAUGAAGGUCUUCGGAUUGUAAACCACUGUCGGGAGGGACGAAGCUCUGACGGUACCUCCAAAGGAAGCACCGGCUAACUCUGUGCCAGCAGCCGCGGUAAUACAGAGGGUGCGAGCGUUGUCCGGAAUCACUGGGCGUAAAGGGCGCGUAGGCGGCCUGGUAAGUCGGGGGUGAAACGCUGCGGCUCAACCGCAGCACUGCCUCCGAGACUGUCAGGCUUGAGCACGGUAGAGGCUGGUGGAAUUCCCGGUGUAGCGGUGGAAUGCGUAGAGAUCGGGAAGAACAUCGGUGGCGAAGGCGGCCAGCUGGGCCGUUGCUGACGCUGAGGCGCGACAGCGUGGGGAGCAAACAGGAUUAGAUACCCUGGUAGUCCGCGCCGUAAACGAUGGGUACUAGGCGUCGGGGGGGAGCGACCCUCUCGGUGCCGUCGCUAACGCAGUAAGUACCCCGCCUGGGGAGUACGGUCGCAAGACUGAAACUCAAAGGAAUUGAC
Molecule: ribosomal RNA, 880 nt
Filed under: uncultured bacterium
Lineage: Bacteria
Description: bacterial SSU rRNA
Rfam family: Bacterial small subunit ribosomal RNA
Source: RNAcentral